RNAcentral lists this ribosomal RNA (497 nucleotides) under uncultured bacterium. RNAcentral describes it as "partial 16S ribosomal RNA". It matches the Rfam family "Bacterial small subunit ribosomal RNA", at positions 28 to 507 of the family's 1533-position model. The record is from RNAcentral.
GACGAACGCUGGCGGCGUGCCUAAUACAUGCAAGUAGAACGCUGAAGAGAGGAGCUUGCUCUUCUUGGAUGAGUUGCGAACGGGUGAGUAACGCGUAGGUAACCUGCCUUGUAGCGGGGGAUAACUAUUGGAAACGAUAGCUAAUACCGCAUAACAAUGGAUGACACAUGUCAUUUAUUUGAAAGGGGCAAUUGCUCCACUACAAGAUGGACCUGCGUUGUAUUAGCUAGUAGGUGAGGUAAUGGCUCACCUAGGCGACGAUACAUAGCCGACCUGAGAGGGUGAUCGGCCACACUGGGACUGAGACACGGCCCAGACUCCUACGGGAGGCAGCAGUAGGGAAUUUUCGGCAAUGGGGGCAACCCUGACCGAGCAACGCCGCGUGAGUGAAGAAGGUUUUCGGAUCGUAAAGCUCUGUUGUAAGUCAAGAACGGGUGUGAGAGUGGAAAGUUCACACUGUGACGGUAGCUGACCAGAAAGGGACGGCUAACUACGUG